UUUUUGGUCCUAUUUCUCCUGUUUCUUUUAUUCUCCCAAACAAGGAAACUCUUUAAGAAGUGUUUAUGAAAUUUUGUUUUAUUUUUAUCACCACGUUGGUUUUGGAAAGGGGUCAUAUACCAAAAGAUUAAUAAAGAGUGAUCUCAGGAUUUAGGGAAAUGCAUAUUAAACCAUCAUCUCUCAUAUGUGGUCAGAUAGUUAUUCAGAGGUGUCUAGAAUCUGUAAAAUAUGGGUUAGAGCUGGAUCAAGAUAUUCUAAUUCAAUAAUUUUCUAAAGGAAGCAUGUAUUUGGUAUGGCAUUUUACAGGACAACACCAUAAGCCAAAGUUGAUACAUUGAGAAAGGUAUGAAGGAGAUUGUCUUCAUUAAAAAUGUUACAGUGAAUGUUGCAAGAACCUUGAGAUGACAUACUAGACAUUUUAACACUUGAAUAUGUAGUAAUAUUGUUGAAUACAAGAAUACAUGUGCCUCUCUGGCAUAUAUGUUUAACCCAAAUAUUGUGCAGCAUAUGCUUUAUUUCUUUGUUCUUGAAAUGGAUCCAACUGAUAAAUGGACUCACAUGUGAGAGAUUAUGGUUAUGUAUUAAGGACUGGACCUCUAGUAUUUUGUAUCAGGUCCUGAUUGUUGCAAGGCCUGGUGGUUACAGGUCAUGAUGACAGAAGAUCUGGUGGUUGACGUUCCUAGGACUGAAAGGUCCUUCUGGUAGGUCCUCUUUGUUGCAUAGCCUCUUGGUAGAAAGUCCUUCUUGUAGAAGGUCCUUAUUGUUAAGGUAGAUACAAUUUUAUGGAUAACAACAUCUUUAAUACUGUAAAAAGCGAAGUUUUUGGUAUAGAUCCUUAUACCAUUGUCAAGCAAGACUUCCAUAAAAUUGUGUCUACCUUGUCAUCGGUCAACUUCUAUGUAAUGCCUAUCAAACCAUUUGUCCUUAUUGUUACAAAGCCUGAUGCUUGAAGGCCCUGUGAUAGCAGGUCCUUGUGGUAGAUGGUCCAUCAUAGAAGGUCUUGGUUGUUGCAGGUCCUUGUGGUAGGAGGUCCAUCAUAGAAGGUCUUGGUUGAAGCAGGUCCUUGUGGUAGACAGUCCAUCAUAGAAGGUCUUGGUUGUUGCAGGUCCUUGUGGUAGAUGGUCCAUCAUAGAAGGUCUUGGUUGUUGCAGGUCCUUGUGGUAGAAGGUCCAUCAUAGAAGGUCUUGGUUGUUGCAGGUCCUUGUGGUAGACGGUCCAUCAUAGAAGGUCUUGGUUGUAGCAGGUCCUUGUGGUAGACGGUCCAUCAUAGAAGGUCCUGGUUGUAGCAGGUCCUUGCUGUAGAUGGUCCAUCAUAGAAGGUCCUUGUGGUAAACGGUCCAUCAUAGAAGGUCCAUGUGGUAGACGGUCCAUCAUAGAAGGUCCUGGUUGUAGCAUGUGCUUUAGUCCUAGUGGUAUUAGGUCCAUGUGAACUAGAAUCAUGGUAGAACAGAAGAUGAUAUGCAGAUUAUAAUUUAUGUGUAUAUAUAAAAGAUUUCUUGGAUUUAAAUCAAAAUAUUUAUUGUCCUUCAUUUGUGAAGAAGAGUGAUAGAUGCCAGUAUGAAGCCUGCAGUAAAGCUGUUUCUCCUUAUUUCAAGUUUCUAGGAUCUGGUAGAUAACAAAACACAUUAUUUACCUCUGUCCUAAUAGGGUAGUAGUAGACUUUGCAAAUGGUGAUACCUGCUUCAGUUUUGUAACCACCCCAUAUCUAGAGUUUACAUCAGAUACAAAGUGAUAAAAAUCAAACGUUAGUGUUUUUAGUUUCUUUCAUACAAAACUAUUUGAAGUGAUAAUUUUCAGAGCAAUAUUCCCCAUAUUACAAAGUAUUAGUAAUAUGAAUAAUUUUCAUGAGUACAUGUUAUUAAAACAAUAAGUGUAGGCCAGGCCUCUUCUGAGAGAGUAUGUGUGUUGUAUGGGCUGCAGGCCUCUCCCAAUCGUCUAGCAAUAGACCCACUGUCUGUGGGAUACAGCUGUACAUAUUGUUAACAGAGAUCAUCUUGCCUUACAUCAGUCCGCACUGUCCAAUGUAGUCAGUCACACCACUUUGUUUGAGAAUGUCACAGAAUUUCAGAUUUUUAUCAGUGUCCGUGUUUGUUGUGUAUAAGGAUUGACUUCUUGACACUGUAGGUCUAACAAUGCAGAUGUGUCAGGAAAUCAAGAAGGAAUUCAUAUCAAAUUCAUGCUUUUUCACUUUUUUCGUGAUUUCAGUUUUUUAAAAAAGGAAAUAUACUGAUGGAAAGAAAAUAAGGAACACAUAUAGAAGUAUUGAUAAUUAAUGUUUCAGGUUUGUUUGCAAAAAGCGUUAUAUUAUUAAAAUAUGUCACUCAGUGUCAUAUCAUUUUCAGAUGCAUAGUUACACAAGGUAUCCUCUGUGGUAUGUAGAAAAUGCCAGAGAAUAACCAGUCUCGAUUUUUAUAAAACAGAUUCAAUUGGGAGUAAAAGGCAAAGAAGCGGUGAAAAUUAUAUGAAAGGAUCACAGAAAAUCAAUGAUGAAACCAGAAUUUUCAAACCGUCUGAUUCCUUUCAUAUGAGGACCCUUAGUUCUUUUUAUCAGUAUACAUUGAUAAUUGAUUGCCAUGAUUUUCUUUUUACUCAAACAAUACAAAUUAGGUCAUGUUGAUUUCUCUAACUUGUAAUCUUUUGCAAAGCUCUAAAGACUACUGCUGGAUCUUCAGAAAAUAUGUUUUUCACAUUGACCCCAAUGAACAUUACAAAUUGAUGCUACAUCUUUAAUAGGUCUUAGUCGUACUGGAAUGUUCGAUGAGAUAUGUUUGGAGGAUAGUCUCACAUAACAAGUGAUAAUAUUGUGCAUCUUCCCGAGGCAAGGGAGUUAACUGACUAUAAAAGUCCAGUUUCAACCCUUGUCAAACUAUGCUGGAAUUAUGGAGUUAUAUUCUGGCUGGACUAAGGAGCCCAUGAAUAGUCCAAUCAAAAUCUCGUAAUGAAAUUGACAUCCGGUUCGUAAACUGCCAUGCAGAUUUCAGUCGAUUGCAGGAUGUGCACAGCAUUUGACUGACAACAUAGCAUGAACAGAUAUUUUCCAAAUGUUUUCAUUUUAAUCAAGGUGCUCAUGUGAUAUGAUGCACUUCGCGAACUUAGACCUGUUUUAUUACAAUAGAGAUCUUGACUAUCGAUCAGAUCAUCUUCACUGAGUGACACCAUUUUAUUUGAAGCAAAUGCAAGUGAUAUGAAGGAGGAAUCUGAUUGGUCAAUAGGUGGGACAAACAAGGGAUAUAACACAUAAUAGCCACUGGUGGUGCUAUGAUUGAGCCCAGAAAUUCCAGCCUAGUUCGGCAAGGCUGGAAACCGGACUUUUACAGUCACUUAACUCCCUUGCCUCAGGAAGAUGAUAUUGUGAGACUUUUUCAACUUGUUGACAUCAGCUGUAAGUUUCUACUCAUGGGGGUCUUAGUCAUUGUUGAAUAUUUAUGUUCACAGUAACGAAUAUUCAUCAUCUCAUCUUUGAACAUCCUUCAACAAAAUCCUACAAACUUUGUCUUUGCAUGCUUAAAUGACUUUAUGAUAGAAUAAGUGUAGUCAGUUUAUUUGAUAACUAUGCAUUGUAAAUGUUUGUUGAAUUCUUGAAAUUUUCACCCUGUGGUACAAAUUCACAUGUACUCAUGACUGACUAUAGAGACAGGACUGAAUAUUAUGGGAUGGCAGUCUAUGUGUGGCGAAUAUGUCUGCCAUGUUUGUUAUUUGCCCUGAUUGAGCAUAUGUACUUGUGAUUACAUGCCCUUGUAAGGAUGUCAUAUCAGUGAGCGAUUCCACCUGGUCAUUUGAGGUCAUUUUUGACCUUGGCCUCAGGGUUAUCAAGGUCAUGUUUGCAUUCUAAUCUACUUUUUCAUCUUGUAAAUACUUUCUUAGUACACAGUUCCACUUGUGUGAGGUUUUGAUUUUUCUUGGCACUACAAAUUCAGACUUGUGUAUCAGCAUUGUUUUCAAAGCAGCAGAAUGCAUUUGUGCUUUAAAUUUCUUUCAAAGGUAAACUGUUUGCCUGGAUUAUGAUUUGUGACAAGAGGUGAAACACAAUCUGAACUUGUAUGCCUUCAUGCUAUUAAAGGGAGAUAAUCCAACAUGUUUGCUCCUAUCUUCAAAUCAUAUCUACUUCAUAAAUUCCUUUCCUAAAUGAUUGCCUCAAAUGUCUUUGCACACAAAGAUUUACAAAGAACUAAAAUUUACUUAUGUGAGUUGUCUCCCUUUAUGGUAAUUGAUGACCUUGACCUGUUGACCUCGAUGUAGUUUCUACCAUGUCCAGUCUGCUAGUGUACCAGAUGAUUGGAAUAUAUGUGAGUACCUAGUUGUGUACAUAGUCAGGAUGUGUAAACUUUGAAUGUUUUUGUCUUAUAUGACAUGGUAAGAUAUUUUUGUAAAAAAAAAGAUCAGGAAUAAAAUUUUUGUUUCA
This 4402-nucleotide long non-coding RNA is filed under the name Haliotis rufescens (red abalone). Its description in RNAcentral is "uncharacterized LOC124134846". Lineage: Eukaryota; Metazoa; Mollusca; Gastropoda; Lepetellida; Haliotidae. The record is from RNAcentral.